GCUUACGGCCAUACCACCCUGAAUGUGCCCUAUCUCGUCUGAUCUCGGAAGCUAAGCAGGGUCAGGCCAGGUUAGUACUUGAUGGGGACCGCCUGGGAAUCCAGGUGCGUAAGUU
Molecule: ribosomal RNA, 115 nt
Filed under: Larimichthys crocea (large yellow croaker)
Lineage: Eukaryota; Metazoa; Chordata; Actinopteri; Sciaenidae
Source: RNAcentral